UACGAACUGUGCAAACGUUAUUCGGAAUCACUGGGCUUGAAGAGUGCGUAGGCGGUUUCGUAAGUAGGGUGUGAAAGCCCCCAGCUCAACUGGGGAACUGCGUCCUAAACUGCGAGGCUGGAGUGAGGUAGGGGUGUGUGGAACUUCCGGUGGAGCGGUGAAAUGUGUUGAUAUCGGAAGGAACGCCGGUGGCGAAAGCGACACACUGGGCCUUGUCUGACGCUGAGGCACGAAAGCCAGGGGAGCAAACGGG
Molecule: ribosomal RNA, 253 nt
Filed under: uncultured bacterium
Lineage: Bacteria
Description: partial 16S ribosomal RNA
Rfam family: Bacterial small subunit ribosomal RNA
Source: RNAcentral